Molecule: ribosomal RNA, 576 nt
Filed under: uncultured bacterium
Lineage: Bacteria
Description: partial 16S ribosomal RNA
Rfam family: Bacterial small subunit ribosomal RNA
Source: RNAcentral
UGGGGAAUAUUGCACAAUGGGCGCAAGCCUGAUGCAGCCAUGCCGCGUGUGUGAAGAAGGCCUUCGGGUUGUAAAGCACUUUCAGCGAGGAGGAAGGUGGUGAGCUUAGUACGCUCAUCAAUUGACGUUACUCGCAGAAGAAGCACCGGCUAACUCCGUGCCAGCAGCCGCGGUAAUACGGAGGGUGCAAGCGUUAAUCGGAAUUACUGGGCGUAAAGCGCACGCAGGCGGUUUGUUAAGUCAGAUGUGAAAUCCCCGGGCUCAACCUGGGAACUGCAUUUGAAACUGGCAAGCUAGAGUCUCGUAGAGGGGGGUAGAAUUCCAGGUGUAGCGGUGAAAUGCGUAGAGAUCUGGAGGAAUACCGGUGGCGAAGGCGGCCCCCUGGACGAAGACUGACGCUCAGGUGCGAAAGCGUGGGGCAGCAAACAGGAUUAGAUACCCUGGUAGUCCACGCUGUAAAACGAUGUCGAUUUUGGAGGUUGUGCCCUUGAGGCGUGGCUUCCGGAGCUAACGCGUUAAAUCGACCGCCUGGGGAGUACGGCCGCAAGGUUAAAACUCAAAUGAAUUGACGGGGUC